GACGAACGCUGGCGGCGUGCUUAACACAUGCAAGUCGAACGGUAAAGCCCUGCUUUUGUGGCGUCCUCGUGUGGCGCGCGCGGGAGUGUCACGUGAGUAACCUCCCCCUGUCUUUGGGGUACCACCAGUAGAAUCGAGCUCUUACCGCGCAUAAACUCCUUAAGCACGGUGUGUGUUGGAAAAUUUCGGCGGUUGGUGAUGGAAACGCGGCUUCGCAGCUUGUUGGUGGGGUGGUGGCUUACCAACGCAUGGAGGGGUAGCCGGCCUGGGAGGGUGACCGGCCACAUUGGGCCUGAGAUACGGCCCAUAGGCCUACGGGGGGCAGCAGUGGGGAAUAGUGCACAAUGGGCGGAAGCCGUGUGCAGCAACGCCGCGUGCGGGAUGACGGCCGUCAGGGUGUAAACCUCUUUAGCCUGUGACGAAGAGUGAGUGACGGUAACGGGUAAAAAAGCACCGGCUAACUACGUG
RNAcentral lists this ribosomal RNA (468 nucleotides) under uncultured bacterium. RNAcentral's name for it is "partial 16S ribosomal RNA". It matches the Rfam family "Bacterial small subunit ribosomal RNA", at positions 28 to 507 of the family's 1533-position model. The record is from RNAcentral.